UACGGAGGGAGCUAGCGUUGUUCGGAAUUACUGGGCGUAAAGCGCACGUAGGCGGCUUUUUAAGUCAGAGGUGAAAUCCCGGGGCUCAACCUCGGAACUGCCUUUGAAACUGGAAAGCUAGAAUCUUGGAGAGGCGAGUGGAAUUCCGAGUGUAGAGGUGAAAUUCGUAGAUAUUCGGAAGAACACCAGUGGCGAAGGCGACUCGCUGGACAAGUAUUGACGCUGAGGUGCGAAAGCGUGGGGAGCAAACACG
Molecule: ribosomal RNA, 253 nt
Filed under: uncultured bacterium
Lineage: Bacteria
Description: partial 16S ribosomal RNA
Rfam family: Bacterial small subunit ribosomal RNA
Source: RNAcentral